CAAUAUACGAGAUACAUAUUGCUAAAUAUAUAUCUCGUAUGUUCUA
Molecule: non-coding RNA, 46 nt
Filed under: Spodoptera frugiperda (fall armyworm)
Lineage: Eukaryota; Metazoa; Arthropoda; Insecta; Lepidoptera; Noctuidae
Source: RNAcentral